UACGUAGGGGGCGAGCGUUGUCCGAAUUUAUUGGGCGUAAAGAGCGUGUAGGCGGCCAGGUAGGUCUGCUGUGAAAACUCGAGGCUCAAUCUCGAGACGUCGGCGGAAACCAUCUGGCUAGAGUCCGGAAGAGGAGAGUGGAAUUCCUGGUGUAGCGGUGAAAUGCGCAGAUAUCAGGAAGAACACCCGUGGCGAAGGCGGCUCUCUGGGACGGUACUGACGCUGAGACGCGAAAGCGUGGGGAGCGAACAGG
RNAcentral lists this ribosomal RNA (253 nucleotides) under uncultured bacterium. Its description in RNAcentral is "partial 16S ribosomal RNA". It matches the Rfam family "Bacterial small subunit ribosomal RNA", at positions 524 to 776 of the family's 1533-position model. The record is from RNAcentral.